AGCGAACGCUGGCGGCAGGCUUAACACAUGCAAGUCGAGCGGGCACCUUCGGGUUUCAGCGGCAGACGGGAGCGUAACACGUGGGAACGUACCCUUCGGUUCGGAAUAACGCUGGGAAACUAGCGCUAAUACCGGAUACGCCCUUAUGGGGAAAGGUUUACUGCCGAAGGAUCGGCCCGCGUCGGAUUAGCCAGUUGGUGGGGUAACGGCCUACCAAGGCGAGGAUCAGUAGCUGGUCUGAGAGGAUGAUCAGCCACACUGGGACUGAGACACGGCCCAGAAUCCUACGGGAGGCAGCAGUGGGGAAUAUUGGACAAUGGGCGCAAGCCUGAUCCAGCCAUGCCGCGUGAGUGAUGAAGGGCUUAGGGUUGUAAAGCUCUUUUGUACGGGACGAUAAUGACGGUACCGGAAGAAUAAGCCCCGGCUAACUUCGUG
Molecule: ribosomal RNA, 435 nt
Filed under: uncultured bacterium
Lineage: Bacteria
Description: partial 16S ribosomal RNA
Rfam family: Bacterial small subunit ribosomal RNA
Source: RNAcentral